GACGGAGGAUGCAAGCGUUAAUCGGAAUUACUGGGCGUAAAGCGUGCGUAGGCGGUUAGUUAAGUUAGAUGUGAAAGCCCUGGGCUUAACCUGGGAACGGCAUUUGAAACUGGCGAGCUAGAGUUGAGUAGAGGGGAGUGGAAUUUCAGGUGUAGCGGUGAAAUGCGUAGAUAUCUGAAGGAACACCAGUGGCGAAGGCGACUCCCUGGACUCAAACUGACGCUGAGGUACGAAAGCGUGGGUAGCAAACAGG
Molecule: ribosomal RNA, 253 nt
Filed under: uncultured bacterium
Lineage: Bacteria
Description: partial 16S ribosomal RNA
Rfam family: Bacterial small subunit ribosomal RNA
Source: RNAcentral